RNAcentral lists this long non-coding RNA (1126 nucleotides) under Astyanax mexicanus (Mexican tetra). RNAcentral's name for it is "lncRNA (ENSAMXG00005014044.1)". Lineage: Eukaryota; Metazoa; Chordata; Actinopteri; Characiformes; Acestrorhamphidae. The record is from RNAcentral.
ACUGACAGCACUACACCAGCCCUGACCGCUGCCUCACCUAAUUGGACUUGAGCGCGAUUUACUUUAAAAACACAAUUUAUUUCUUUGUGUAAAAACACUGUUUCUCGGUAAAACAGAGGAGGAUGAGCUGCAGAUGUGUGAGUUUAAAAGUGAGGGGUGAAAUGCGCUGCCGGAGCUCCGUUUAGCCCCUGUCUGUGUGGGAUCUUUUGUCUGUUCAGUCAGAUCCUCCAGCUCUGAGGAGGAUCCUUCAGCACUGAGCUCCUCAAACCUGCCUCUGAUCAGACUGAGGGACCGGCGGACUGAGCGCAUGAGGUGCUCUCUAACUGGAAGCUUUAGGAGGUUCCUCUGUGAUGUCCGAUGGGCAGCCAUGAGGUGUAGAAAGCUGCUGCUGUGUCUGAUUGAUCUGUGGAACGAUGAGCACUCAGACCUCUCUCUGGACUUUGAGCAAGCUUGGAGAAUGCAGCUAAGAAACAAUGAGGAGAUCAAAGACCCGGAGGGGGAAGCUCUACUGUCCUUUUUUUCAUUCACUCCGGGACUCUCUCUCCUCUACACCUUGUGCACGAUGUUGCGUUCAUCAUUACUCAAGGUCACUGUGCUGAGGCUGUCAGCUGACCUGCUCAUCUUAUUUGGCCUUUUCACCCUUAGGUGGGCAAUCUUGUUCUGUGAGGGGCAGCCUGUGCUUGACUGGGCAGAGUAUGUCUAUACUCUGGUCAUCCUGGGGUCAGCCUGCUGCUAUGCUGUGUCUCAACACCUGCUUCAGAGACUGAGCAGAAAAACUGCAGCCAGCGCUCAAGCAGCCUUAUCUGGUGCCCUCUGCAGGAAGCCCCCAGCACCAGACUGACUGCACUGAAGUGGUCUCCCAGCUGUCGGUGGAUGCUGACCGCGUCACAGAGCUGGUGGGGACCCUUCCUUGGCUCUUCUCCUCUCCCCUGAGGGUGGCUCUCUGUGUGUGGAUCCUAUGGAUUGAGCUGGGCUUUGCUGUGAUGGGGGGUGUGAUACUGCUGCUUUGUCUUGUUUUAGUCCAGUCUUCAAUGGAGCAUCGCAUCAGACUGCUACAGGUCAGCCACAGCAGUGGAUGUGUUCAGUUUAGACAUAUCUCUACUAGUUAUAUUAGUAAUCAAUUCAA